CCUACGGGAGGCUGCAGUGAGGAAUAUUGGUCAAUGGACGAGAGUCUGAACCAGCCAAGUAGCGUGAAGGAUGACUGCCCUAUGGGUUGUAAACUUCUUUUAUAUGGGAAUAAAAUGUUCCACGUGUGGGAUUUUGUAUGUACCAUAUGAAUAAGGAACGGCUAACUCCGUGCCAGCAGCCGCGGCAAUACGGAGGGUCCGAGCGUUAUCCGGAUUUAUUGGGUUUAAAGGGAACGUAGGUGGGUUGUUAAGUCAGUUGUGAAAGUUUGCGGCUCAACCGUAAAAUUGCAGUUGAAACUGGCAGGCUUGAGUACAGUAGAGGUGGGUGGAAUUCGUGGUGUAGCGGUGAAAUGCUUAGAUAUCACGAAGAACUCCGAUGGCGAAGGCAGUUCACUGGACUGCAACUGACACUGAGGCGCGAAAGUGUGGGUAUCAAACAGGAUUAGAUACCCGGGUAGUC
Molecule: ribosomal RNA, 460 nt
Filed under: uncultured bacterium
Lineage: Bacteria
Description: partial 16S ribosomal RNA
Rfam family: Bacterial small subunit ribosomal RNA
Source: RNAcentral